This 815-nucleotide long non-coding RNA is filed under the name Lupinus angustifolius (narrow-leaved blue lupine). Its description in RNAcentral is "long non-coding RNA (LANG_LNC002159)". Lineage: Eukaryota; Viridiplantae; Streptophyta; Magnoliopsida; Fabales; Fabaceae. The record is from RNAcentral.
UGUAAUAAAAACCGUACCGUGCCGGCCGGUUCCUUACCGGCACGGUAUGCUAUUAAGACCGGUCGUGCAAUAGAACCGGAGUAAAAUUGUCAAAACCGGGCGAUUUUGAUGAAAACCGGCUAACCGGUCAAUUAUUUCUCAACCGGCCGAUUCACUGUUAUUAAGAGAAGGCAAAUGAAGAACAUGUUAUACCAUUUAUUCUGAAAUCCCUAAGUCUAAGACUCUAAGAGGAUAUGAAAUCCCUAACCUUCCACUCCAUAGUUGUGUUCCACUUUCCUAAAAGAAAAGAUAUUUAUGUUUAUUCUCCAUCUUCAUCCAGUUCAUAGCUGGAAAACCGUGAACGAAAAAAGAAGGUGUUAACAUGCCAUGUAUCUUUUCCAUCUUCAGUACUUUAAACAGUAUUGUAGAAGAAUGAGAGAAAAAAUUCAGAGUUUUCUCUGGUUUGUGACUGGGGUACCUCACCUUCCUCCACGAGAACUAGAGUCUUCUUCUCUUUCUCCAAAGUUUUUCAAGUUGAUUAUCUCGUGCACUGUGGCACUGUGCAGAGAUUAUAUGAUAUUCACUAUCCAGUUUUUAAUAUCACAAGAAAAAGUAGGUGUAGUGGCACAGUGCAGAGGUUAUGUGUUCAUAUAUAACUUUCUUUUAUGAGUUUAUGUAUUUGUUAUAGAUUAUAUAUUACAAGAUAAUAAUAGGUGUAGUGGUCUAGAGAAGUUAUAGAACCUAGGUUUAGAGAAAGAGAAGUCAUAAAUUUUGGGUGUUGUGACAGCAUGGUGAACUGCCCAAAAAAAAUUCAGGACAUUAGUUUUGCUUUUGCC